CACCAUCCUACACAUACUAGGGGAUAAUUUACAAUUAUACCAAGCCAAUUAACUUACAACCCUGGACGUCUUUCAAAUGUGGGAAGAAACUGGAGAUCCCGGAAAAAAUCAUGGGGAGAACGUACAAACUCCGUACUGACAAGCACCCGUAGUCAGGAUCGAUCCCGGGUCUCAGGCGCGAUAAGGCAGCAACUCUACCGCUGCGCCACUGUGCCACUCUUGUGACAUUAGAUCUUAGAUCUUAUGACAUUUUCUAUAUGUUUGAGGAAUAUUGUUAACCUACCUUUUUGUGCUUAUAUCAUACAUGCUUUGCAAUUGCACAGAACUUUUUUUACUUGGACUGUGGGAGCGAUUAAGAAUAUUGCUGCACUUGGCAACUUUGUGCAGAUUUGGCUUUUUUUCUUCCCCCGGUUUUGAAAUGCAGCUGACGUAGGCCAAGAGAAAAAAUAUAUAUUUCAGCUUUCAAAAGUACCAAAAAUCCUUAAGGGAAAGCUUGGAAGGGAGGAGGGCGUAGGAGCAGCUAAAAGAGAGAACAGUGCCAGUAACCAGAAACAACUGAGUCAUUCAGCAAAUCAGAGAUAUUUAAAUUCACUUUACCACGAACAAGGCCCUCACAUCCCUAUGGUAGGCAAAACUCCACACAGAGCCUUGUGAAGGAUUUUUUUUUUCGCAAUCCACAGCCUAUCUAUUAUAAUUGUUUCCAGAUUUGUGUGGGAGGUCAGGGCCCUGGAGUGCUGCUCCAUGCCAAGUUUAUAAACACAGCAGUAUUUCCAGAUGGCCACUGGCUCCAGACUGGCUAGCAGGUUGAUUGGGACCAGAAUAACAACAGGUGGAGAACAGACAAUGAAUUCCUUGACACUCUUUCCUCAUCCCCCACCACCCUACCACCUCAACGGUUCGCAUUCUAAAAUAAGAAGACACUUAGCGUGCAGGGGUGAUGUGUGCGUUUUAGAAAUGUCUUACCGUAGUCGCUGUACAAAGCAGAGACUAAUAUUCAUCUCAGGAAAGUUGGCAGAGAAGUGAAAAUACCAGCUUAGAGGAGGUGAGAAAUGCAAAUGUUGAACAAGCCCAAGAAGUGCAGUGGUUUGGAUAAUGUAGACUUUUACAUGUUUGUGGGAGGAAAAUGGAGCACCCAGAGAAAACCUAUGAAUUCACAGGGAGAAUGGACAAAAUAUGUACAGACAGCACCCCUAGUCAGGAUCGAACCUGGGUCUCUGGUACUGUAACAAGUAACAACUCUACCGCUGCACCACUGCGCCACUUUGUAAAGAUCAGUUUUUCCACAGUCUAAUAUCAGUCUAUGCCAUGAAAGAUUCCUAAAUUUCAUCAGGAACUGUGUCUGAUGUCACAGGUAUGAGAGGGUGGAGCAGGAGACAGAGCACACAGAAUUGAGGUCCUGUGCUGACAAUCAGUGAGGAGGUGGUGAUAUUACCAAUUUGUACUGAUUGGGAUCUGCCAAUGUGGAAGUCGAGGAUCUAGUUGCAAAACAGCGAGCAGAAACCCAGUUCCCCAAGUUUGAUGAUAAGUUUAGAAUGGAUGACGGUGUUGAAUGCCCAGCUCUUGUUGAUGAACAACAGCCCAAUGUACAUGUAUGUAUUGUGCAAGUGGUUGUACAAUGUGAAGAGCCAGCAAGUUCGCAUUCGCCGUUAAUCUGUUCUGACAGUGGAUGAAUUACAGUGGAUCCAGGACCUUACUAUGGCAGGAGUUAAUAUGUGUCAUAACCAACCCCUCAAAGCACUUCAUCAGAAUGGAUUUGAGUAACAUUGGAGUACCAACGGAUGUGAGUUGGUAGUCGUUGUGGCGUGCCACCCAUUUAUACCUCACACUGCCUUGGCAAGACCACCAGCAUAAUCAAGGACAAGUUGCACCCUGGCCACUCCCUCUUCUCCUCUCUCCCAUCAGGCAAGAGGCAUAGAAGUGUGAAAGUGCAUAGCUCCAGAUUCAGGGAUAGUUUCUUCCCAACUGUUCUUCCCAAUCAGAGCAUUGAGUAUAGAAGCUGGGAUGUAAUGUUAAAAUUGUACAAGGCAUUGGUGAGACCAAAUCUGGAGUAUGGUGUACAAUUUUGGUCGCCCAAUUAUAGGAAGGAUGUCAACAAAAUAGAGAGAGUACAGAGGAGAUUUACUAGAAUGUUGCCUGGGUUUCAACAACUAAGUUACAGAGAUAGGUUGAAUAAGUUAGGUCUUUAUUCUCUGGAGCGCAGAAGGUUAAGGGGGGACCUGAUAGAGGUCUUUAAAAUGAUGAGAGGGAUAGGCAGAGUUGAUGUGGACAAGCUUUUCCCUUUGAGAAUAGGGAAGAUUCAAACAAGAGGACAUGACUUCAGAAUUAAGGGACAGAAGUUUAGGGGUAAUAUGAGGGGGAACUUCUUUACGCAGUGAGUGGUGGCGGUGUGGAAUGAGCUCCCAGUGGAAGUGGAGGCAGGUUCAUUGGUAUCAUUUAAAAAUAAAUUGGAUAGGCAUAUGGAUGAGAAGGGAAUGGAGGGUUAUAGUAUGAGUGCAGGCAGGUGGGACUAAGGGGAAAAAAAAAUUGUUCGGCAUGGACUUGUAGGGCCGAGAUGGCCUGUUUCCGUGCUGUAAUUGUUAUAUGGUUAUAUGGUUAUAUGGUUAUAUGUUAUCAGGCAAUGGAACCAUCCUACUACAACUAGAGAGCAGCUAGACAGCAGUCCUAAAUGUUAUUCGCAUUCUUCCCUUUAUCAUGUAUCUGUGUGGAUGGCUCGAUUGUAAUCAUGUAUUGUCCUUUCGCUGACUGGUUAGCAUGCAACAAAAGCUUUUCAAUGUAUACAUGUGACAAUAAAAUAAAUAAGUGGGAAAUUUGGAAUAAUACAAGUCAAGUCUUCCAAUUUUCACUUGCGGUCCGCAAAUUCAUUUUUUCACUGAGCAAGAUUCCAUGGCCUUGCAAAAAUAAAAUAAUUAGGGAAAAGAAAUGCAGGGAGCUAAUGUUAGAACAAAGCAAGUCCUCAACCAGAUAGCAUAUUUAAAAAGCCAGAGCCUCUUAGUCCUUAUUGAUAAGCAGCACAUGUGUCAUUGUUUCUCUCCUGGUUUCCAUGUGACCUUUUCCUCCAGCCCUCCCCACUUUCUCUGCUGUUUAAAACAUUUUAAUUUCUCACUUUUCUCAGUUCUGUAAAAAGGUCAUCAAAUUGGCAUAUUUUUACUCUUUUCCUCUCCCCACAGAUUCAGUUUGACCAGUUGAGUAUUUCCCACAUUUUCGGCUUUUAUCCCACACCUCAACAGGUCAGGCCGCAUCGGGGGAGGGAAUGGAGAGGUGAACCCUUCUUGUGACUGGGUCUUAACCUGAAAUAUCGUCUAUCCAUUCCCUCCACUGAUUGGAGUUCUUACAUUGACCUCUGGGGUGAUGAAAACCCUGCCACGCUGUAGAGUUAUUCAGAUUAUGUUUCUGUUCAUCAAUCGGCUGAUCCUUAAUAAUCAUGGUAUUUGUUUUUUGAUUCUGACACUGACCUACAGUGGGCACAGGGUGAACUGCAUUUUCCUUUCUUUUGUAUCACACGAAACAUCAAUUCCCCAAAUGUGUGAUUUUUCUCCUAUUCCAAUAGGAUUACAAAGCAACAAAUUGGCUUGUUUUUCUUCGUUCCUUUACUCAACUGAAAGCAAUGAUUCACAUUCUGAUGUAGAAGCAAGAAACUGCUGAUGCUGGUUCAUGAAAAAAGACACAAAGAGUUGGUGCAAACCAGCGGGUCAGGCAGCAUCUCUGGAGAACAUAAAUAGGUGAUGUUUCGGGUUGGGACCCUUCUUCGGACUGAUACAAGUCCAAGGGCAAUAACAGUGCAUAAGUGAGUGCAUAAUGUGAAGUUGAGAAAGGACAGUCUUGCUAAUGAGGGAGUGUAGUGUAGGUUCACCAGGUUAAUUCCCAGGAUGGUGGGACUGACAUAUGAUGAAAUUUAGGAUAAGAGGGUAUCAUAGAAACAUGUAAAAAUCUUAAGGGAUUGGAUAGGCUAGAUGCAGGAAAAAUGUCCCCCAUGUUGGGGGAGUCCAGAACCAGGGGUUACAGUUUAAGAAUAAAGGUAGGCCAUUUAGGACUAAAAUGAGAAAAUGAGGAAACAUUUUUUCAGCCAGAGAGUUAGGAAUCUGUGGAAUUCUCUGCCACAGAAGGCAGUGGAGGCCAAUUCACUGGAUGUAUUCAAGAGACAGUUAGGUAUAGCUCUUAGGGCUAAUGGGAUCAAGGGAUGUGGGGAGAAAUCAGGAACAAUGUACUGAUUCUGGAUGAUCAGCCAUGAUAUUGAAUAGCGAUGCUGGCUCAAAGAGCCAAAUGGCCUACUACUGCACCUAUUUUCCAUGUUUCUAAGUUCAGACUAAGGGAACAUCACAAGUGGUCCGAUACCACACCUUCCGUCCUCUGCUCCACAUUUGUGUCACAGGUUAUCACUCUGCCUUGAGAAUUUGUAAUUUAGUGUCCACAUUGCUAUUUUACCUGAGACAUUCAGUCAGUACAGUAUAAAACCCAAACCUGGGACCCUAUGAUCCACACAACUAAAGCCGACAUCACACUCGGCAUCCAACUAUUGGUAACUCCACACAUUGUGCCCUUGUAUGAAUAACAUGUUCUCCUAGCAAUGAUAAUUUCAUUUUCCUAUCAUAUGACAACCACACAAAGCACCUGCUGGUAGCAGCUCAUCAGUUAAUCAAUGCAAGAUGCGAGCAGCCAUCAAAAUCAACAUAAUAAGAAAGAGCAAUUGAGCUAAUAGUUUUACUGGCAAAGCGUCACUUUUUAUUUUUGAAAAAAGUGCUUUUUGACAGUUCUUUUUCCUAUGGUCUUAUACUACGGCCAAAAUCGCAAGCAGAAACAGCUCUAAAGAAACAUAAACCUACUCCCUGUGCCUUAAACACAGACAAGAAAUAAUGUAUAUGUAACAUUCUGAGAGAACAAUGUUUUCUUUGAAGUCAGUGGGAAAACAGAGCCCACUUACUUACAAUGUGCUAGUGGCAUAAUGAUGUCAUAAACUCUCCAGCCACUUUCCAAGCAACUGAAAUCUCUGCUGAAGAUAUCAUUGCAGCCUUGUUAGAUUAACACAAUACAGACACUGUAAUGAAAUGAUUUACUCAGUGACUCUAGACUCUUAACAAUAUUUUUAACAAUGUUCGUAAUGUUUCAAUACAUGUAAGGAUGUUGUGUUUCAGAACUGUGAAAGAAAGGGUGAGUGCACCCACUCGAUCAGUUAUGUUUAUACAAGGAAAUAGACAGGAAUGGGGGAGGGUGUGUUUUCAAGGGCUGCUGUCUUAUUCUGAUGGCCCUGGCCAAGGCUGGCCUCUGUUUUUCAGUAAGUUUACUCCACUCCAGAUGUGCCUUGGCUCCAGCGUGGCUGCCAUGUACGGCAAAUCGACAUCUUAGCGCUCGUCAAUCUGUGGGGUAGAACAGCCACUGUGUCGUCAAGCUGACCCACUAAGUGAUCCAGGAAUUUACACGGCAGACCACAGAGCAGAGGGGCUGCAAUUCCUGCAACCUACAACAGUGCAAGUGAAAUGGCAAAGGUGCCGGGUAUAAAAUUAUGGUUUUUGGGGAACAUUAUUUACACUGCAGAGCUCAGAGCAGAGGAGCUGUGAUACCUGCAACCUACAACAGUGGAGGUAGGAGAUUCAGUGUGUAGGAAGGAACUGCAGAUGCUGGAUUACACCGAAGAUAUACACAAGAAGCUGGAGUAACUCAGCAGAACAGGCGGCAUCUCUGGAGAGAACGCAUGGCAUGUGAGGCUGGGAAAGCACAUCUUGGACCCGCAGACCCUCAGCAUAGGAGUACCGCAAGGCUGCGUACUCUCCCCUCUCCUCUACUCUCUCUACACCAAUGACUGCACCUCCACAGUCUCCUCUGUCAAGCUUCUCAAGUUUGUGGACAACCCUGAUUUGACUGAUCUAGGAUGUGGAGGAAUCUGCCUACAGAUACGAUGUGGCACAGCUGGCGUCCUGGAGCCAUCGCAACAACCUGGAGCUCAAUACUCUUAAGACAGUAGAAUUGAUUGUAGACUUUAGGAGAACUCCCCCUCCCCUCACCCCACUCACCAUCAACAAUACCACAGUCACAUCUGUGGCGUCUUUUAAGUUCCUGGGAACCAUCAUCUCCAAGGAACUUAAAUGGGGGUCUACCAUCAACUCCACAGUAAAAAAGGCACAACAGAGGAUGUACUUCCUGCGGCAGCUGAGGAAGCACAAUCUGCCACAGGCAAUGAUGGUCCAAUUCUACACGGCCACCAUAGAGUCUGUCCUCACCUUCUCCAUCAUGGUCUGGUUUGGCUCAGCCAUCAAGUACGACAUCUGGAGGCUGCAGCGAAUCGUCCGACCAGCUGAGAAGGUUAUUGGCUGCAACCUUCCCUCCAUUGAUGAACUAUACACUGCAAGGGCCAGUAAGCGAGCGGGUAAGAUCAUCUCUGACCCCUCUCACCCUGGCAACAAACUCUUUGAAUCACUUCCCUCUGGAAGGCGACUCCGGACUGUCAAAGCUGCCACAGCCAGACAUAAAAAUUGCUUUUUUUCCAAGAGUAGUAGCUCUACUCUACUAGUAGUAGCUCUACUCAAUAACCAAAAAUCUGUAUCCUUCUUUUGUUCUGGUAUUUUAUUUAAUUCACAUGUUUAAUCAAUAAUGCUUUAUUGUUAAUGUUUAAUGUUUUAUGUGUACAAUUCCUAACUGUCAAUGUAUGUCAUGUUGUCACUUGCGGGUGGAGCACCAACGCAAAUUCCUUGUAUCUGAAUACUUGGCCAAUAAACCUAUUCAUUCAUUCAUUCAUUCUUUCAUGAUUUUAUAUGCCUCUAUAAGAUCAAUCCUCAGUCUCUUCUUCUCGAAGUCCUAGCCUGUCCAACCUCUCCCGUUAAAUUAGGCCCUUGAAUCUUGGCAACAUCCUUGUAAAUCUUCUCUGCAUUUUUCCAACUUAAUGGCAUCUUUCCUGUAGCCAGGUGACCAAAUCUAAACUCAAUAUUCCAAGUAUUGCCUCACCAUUGUUUAGUAAAGUGUAAGAUAACAUCCCAAACUCUAUACUCAGUUCCCUGACUGAUGAAGGCCAAUGUGCCUACAGGCUUAUUCCUACUACUAUACCUACCUGCGAUGCCACUUAAAGGGAAUUGUAUUCUGGUGCUCUGAGAUCCCUUUGCUCUAUAACAAUCUAUAGUGCCUUAUCAUUCACUGUGAGGGCCCUGUCCUUGCAUCAUGUCCCAAAACACAAUAUCUCACGUUCAUCUGAAUGAAAAUCCAUUUGCCAUUCCCCACCUCACUUGCCCAGCUGAUCAAGAUCCUGCUGUAAUUCUUGAUAACCUUCUUCACUAUGCACGAUAUAUUAUAAUUUUGUGCAUCAUCUGCAAACUUACCAAUCAUACCCUGUAUAUUCUCAUCCAAAUCAUUGAUACAGACAACAAACAUUUAUAAGUAGAAUGUGUAAAAAGGAACUGCAGAUGUUGGUAUAUUCCAGAGAUAAACACAAAGUGCUGGAGUACCUCGGCGGGUCAGGCAGCAUCUCUGAAGAAAAAAGUUGAGUGAAGUAGUACAAUCCCAACAAGGUAAUGACUCCAUCUUUGCAUCUCAGCUCCACCCAUGUAAACUCACUGAAUGAUCCUUCAAUAAUGUAAUCUCAGACUACUGCAGUGAUGUUUUCCUUAAUCAAUAAAGCAUUUCCUGUCUGUCAUUGCCCACACCUUUAUUUUUUCUGCAGCACCCGACCCUUGAAAUACUAAGCUGCCAGUCUUAUCCCUCCCUUAGCCAGGUUUCCAUAAUGGCUACAAUGUCCCAUUCACAUGUACUGUACCUUUUGCUUUAGAUUUAUUGUUGUCAGAUGUGUUGAGAUACAAUGAAAAACUCUUUUUUUUUGGGCUAUCUAGUCAGAUAAUACUAAUACUCCAUAGAUACAAUCUAUCAAGCCGAGCUCAAGUACAAUAGGUAGAGCAAAGGAAAAGAUCCAGAGUGCAGAAUGUAACUAUCAGCAUCGUAGCGCAACAGUCCCAAAUACAAAGUCCAAUGUCUGCAAUACUGGUAGCUGCGAAGCGAUCACUACACCGGCUUAAGUAAGGACCUAACCAGGGCCUGAUAACAAAGAGGAAGAAGCUGUCCCUGAGUCCGGUGGUGCACGCUUUCAAACUCAGUACCUA
This is a long non-coding RNA of Leucoraja erinaceus (little skate), 8075 nucleotides long. RefSeq lists it as uncharacterized. The transcript has 4 exons. Lineage: Eukaryota; Metazoa; Chordata; Chondrichthyes; Rajiformes; Rajidae. The record is from RefSeq and is a predicted model, not a curated record.